RNAcentral lists this ribosomal RNA (253 nucleotides) under uncultured bacterium. Its description in RNAcentral is "partial 16S ribosomal RNA". It matches the Rfam family "Bacterial small subunit ribosomal RNA", at positions 524 to 776 of the family's 1533-position model. The record is from RNAcentral.
UACGUAGGGUGCAAGCGUUAAUCGGAAUUACUGGGCGUAAAGCGUGCGCAGGCGGUGAUGUAAGACAGGUGUGAAAUCCCCGGGCUUAACCUGGGAACUGCAUUUGUGACUGCAUCGCUGGAGUGCGGCAGAGGGGGAUGGAAUUCCGCGUGUAGCAGUGAAAUGCGUAGAGAUGCGGAGGAACACCGAUGGCGAAGGCAGCCCCCUGGGCUAGCACUGACGCUGAGGCGCGAAAGCGUGGGGAGCAAACAGG